GAUGAACGCUGGCGGCGUGCCUAAUACAUGCGAGUCGAGCGAACAGACGAGGAGCUUGCUCCUCUGACGUUAGCGGCGGACGGGUGAGUAACACGUGGAUAACCUACCUAUAAGACUGGGAUAACUUCGGGAAACCGGAGCUAAUACCGGAUAAUAUAUUGAACCGCAUGGUUCAAUAGUGAAAGACGGUUUUGCUGUCACUUAUAGAUGGAUCCGCGCCGCAUUAGCUAGUUGGUAAGGUAACGGCUUACCAAGGCAACGAUGCGUAGCCGACCUGAGAGGGUGAUUGGCCACACUGGAACUGAGACACGGUCCAGACUCCUACGGGAGGCAGCAGUAGGGAAUCUUCCGCAAUGGGCGAAAGCCUGACGGAGCAACGCCGCGUGAGUGAUGAAGGUCUUCGGAUCGUAAAACUCUGUUAUUAGGGAAGAACAAAUGUGUAAGUAACUAUGCACGUCUUGACGGUACCUAAUCAGAAAGCCACGGCUAACUACGUG
This 497-nucleotide ribosomal RNA is filed under the name uncultured bacterium. RNAcentral describes it as "partial 16S ribosomal RNA". It matches the Rfam family "Bacterial small subunit ribosomal RNA", at positions 28 to 507 of the family's 1533-position model. The record is from RNAcentral.